UACGGAGGGUGCGAGCGUUAAUCGGAAUUACUGGGCGUAAAGCGUGCGUAGGUGGUUUGCUAAGUCAGAUGUGAAAGCCCCGGGCUUAACCUGGGAACGGCAUUUGAAACUGACAGACUGGAGUUGAGUAGAGGGGAGUGGAAUUUCAGGUGUAGCGGUGAAAUGCGUAGAUAUCUGAAGGAACACCAGUGGCGAAGGCGGCUCCCUGGACUCAAACUGACGCUGAGGUACGAAAGCGUGGGUAGCAAACAGG
This 253-nucleotide ribosomal RNA is filed under the name uncultured bacterium. RNAcentral describes it as "partial 16S ribosomal RNA". It matches the Rfam family "Bacterial small subunit ribosomal RNA", at positions 524 to 776 of the family's 1533-position model. The record is from RNAcentral.